CUCCCGGGGCCCCUGCUGGGGGACGCACAGGGUGCUGACCGAGGUCAGAAAUGAACUGGCUCCAUCUCUGGGCCUUCAUCCUGCUCCCAGUCAGCUUCCGGGUCAGCACGGCCCCUUCCCCCUCUGGCCAGGGGGGCUGAAAGGUGAGGGGGGAGGUUGUCCCCUUCAGGCCACCCCCCCACCCCGCAGGCCAGCGCAGCCCCCGGAAAGACCACGGGAGCCGCUGGAGCAAGUUGGAACUUUGACUUUCCAGGAGUCCCUUCUUAAAAAAAUGAAGGAAAAGCAAAUCCAAGUUACUUAACCCAAUAUGCUCCAAAUAUGCUUUCUAUAUAUGAUCAAGAUAAAGAAUUAUUGAGACGUGUUCCUUUCUUUUUUUUUUUUAAUACUAUGUCUUCCAGAUCCAGUGUGUGUUUUACACUGACCACCCUCAGUGUGGAACAGCUGUGGGUCCACUGCCCAGUAGCCACGUGGCCAGCAGCUGCUGUACUGGACUGCACGGCUCUGGAUGUGAAGCCCCUGAGAGUCAGGACUGUGAUGAGACCCACCAUUAUGAUCUCCAGGGUCUGGAGCCCACGGGGUGCCACGUGACUGACAGGUGCUGUCCUGGCCUUCAUGGCAGAGUGCUCCGCAGCGCACCUGAGGUGAGGGGACGGGCUGCUGGCUCUGAAGUCCUCUCUGGAGCCGGGCACCUGGAGGCCGUGAACUCAGAGUCGCGUUGGUUGGCGGCGGCAGGACGACUGUGUGGAUCCGCCUUUUCUGAUCUGAAGAGCUCUUCAGAAUCCCAGGUGGCUUCGGAGACCAUGAAGCUCUCUGUGAGGACUUUGGAGACUGUUGAGAGCCGUGCACGUCGGGAUCAAGUGGCCUUUCAAAGACGUGGGCGAGAAGCGGGGUGGGCGAGGGGAGAGGGGGACACAGCCCCUCCCUGUGCCCUGUCCCCUCCCAGGCCAGCCUUGCCCAGAGAUUCUGCAGAUUCCUGCGAUUCUGCUCCGGGCCAGAGCGGCCUCUGCGCUGACUCAGCGCAGCCCCGGAUGGCGAUGGCCGGAGCUGCCCGGCUUCCUCGCACUCACGCCUGGUUUUCUUUCUGCCACAAAAGCCAUGAACUUGACAUCCUUUGAAGAUUUCCUUACUGGGCUGAGGGGGCGGGGAGCUCCAGGCCUCUGGUGACCUUGGGGCUGCUCUGGGGACCUCCCCACCAAGGACGGAUCGCAGGGUGCCAGGGCUGAGGGCAGGUGGGGGCCACUGCCUCGGAGCCACUAUGGGGCCAGCGCAGGGAAGGCCCGGCUUCCAACGCCACCUUCUCAUCCGUGACCGUGGGCCAGUUCUUUUCCCUCUCUAAGCCUGAGUCGCUUGACUGUCACAUGGGGUCAGUGAUGCUCAUCUUGUGUUUGCGUCAUUCAGUGGCUUGGUAUGCAGGCAAGUUCUGUCCCUGUGUCCUCCCACAGGCCUGAGGGCCUUCUAAUAAGGGAGAGGUGAAGGGCAAGGCAGCUCCCGCAGGGUAGGGAUUAUGAGCACGGGUUUCCGAAUUAGGAAGAUCUGAGUUUGAAUCUUGCCUCUGCCACAUACCAGCUGUGUGUUUUUAGGCAAGUCACAUUCCCUCUCUGAGCCUCAAUAUCCUCUGCUAUAAAACUGGCACAAUAAUAUAGUCUCUACCUCAUCUAAUGUUGGCAGGAGGACUGGGGAUGUGGCUCAGUGGUAGAGUGCUUGCCUGGCAUGUGCAAGGCCCUGGGCCCAGUUCCCAGCACCACAAACAGAACAAAACCAGAAAUGUCUGCAAGGGUCCAGAGACAUGGUCCUAUGGCAGGUGGGACAGGAAGCCUGGGAGCUGCUCAAGGAGUGGCGCCCACUCCCCUCCCCAAACUGCAGCCCUGGGUGCCCCGGUGCCUGGUCACAUUUGCAGGUGUUAGAUAAAAGCGUCUGGGCCAGUCCGCACCCUGCACCCGGGGCCUCUUCCACCCCCCUUGAACUUCUCUGGUACAGUCCCCCUCCUUGUCCCUGCCCGGCCCAUGUCUCUGUGUGCUGAUGACCCCGCUCCUGUUGGGACUCAGCUCCUUUGAGCCCCUCCCUAUAACCAUGCACAAGCACCCUUUUCACAGGGAGGAGAAUCUACACUGUAGGCACACAAGUGAGUUGAACAAGCCCCGUCAGGAUUGUCACUGCUGUGCAGUCUGCCUGCCCUCUGAGCGCAUCCCUGGCUUGCUCCAUCCUACCAUCACUAGUCCAUAGAUUCCCUGGGGGCCAGGGCUAUGGCCUUCAUUCACUGUGUCCCAGCACCCAGCACAGUACCUGGCCCACAGUGGGUAGCUCGGAACUACCAAACACAGGGUGAGUAAAUGAAUAAAUGAGAGGGAAAGAGAUCACUGAGGCAGGAGUGGACUGCAUGGCUGUCCAGCACCCUCAGCUGUCAAAGGUCAGUUGUGGGCCAUGGGAACUAUAUGAGUCAGCUUCUUGUUACUGUAAUGGAAUGCCUGAGGCAGUCUAACUUUACAAAGAAUAAAGGUCUAUUUGGCUUCCA
This is a non-coding RNA of Ictidomys tridecemlineatus (thirteen-lined ground squirrel), 2512 nucleotides long. The record is from RefSeq and is a predicted model, not a curated record. Lineage: Eukaryota; Metazoa; Chordata; Mammalia; Rodentia; Sciuridae.